This 253-nucleotide ribosomal RNA is filed under the name uncultured bacterium. RNAcentral describes it as "partial 16S ribosomal RNA". It matches the Rfam family "Bacterial small subunit ribosomal RNA", at positions 524 to 776 of the family's 1533-position model. The record is from RNAcentral.
UACGGAGGAUGCAAGCGUUAUCCGGAAUGAUUGGGCGUAAAGCGUCCGCAGGUGGCUAUGUAAGUCUGCUGUUAAAGAGUGAGGCUCAACCUCAUAAGAGCAGUGGAAACUACAUGGCUAGAGUGCGUUCGGGGCAGAGGGAAUUCCUGGUGUAGCGGUGAAAUGCGUAGAGAUCGGGAAGAACACCGGUGGCGAAAGCGCUCUGCUAGGCCGCAACUGACACUGAGGGACGAAAGCUAGGGGAGCGAAUGGG